GGGGGAAUCUUGGGCAAUGGGCGAAAGCCUGACCCAGCCAUGCCGCGUGGAGGAAGACACCCCUAUGGGGCGUAAACUCUUUUUGUGCAGGAAGAAGGCCUCGGUCACCGAGGUUUGACGGUACUGCACGAAUAAGCACCGGCUAGCUCCGUGCCAGCAGCCGCGGUAAUACGGAGGGUGCAAGCGUUGUCCGGAAUCACUGGGUGUAAAGGGUGUGUAGGCGGGAUUGUAAGUCAGAGGUGAAAUCUUACGGCUCAACCGUAAAAUUGCCUUUGAUACUGCGGUUCUUGAGUCCCGGGGAGGCUGUUGGAAUUCGUGGUGUAGCGGUGAAAUGCGUAGAUAUCACGAGGAACACCAGAGGCGAAAGCGAACAACUGGACGGGUACUGACGCUAAGGCACGAAAGCGUGGGGAGCAAACAGGAUUAGAUACCCUGGUAGUCCACGCUGUAAACGAUGAAUGCUCGGUGUUGCCUCCCUUUGAGGGGGCAGCGCUUAAGCUAACGCGUUAAGCAUUCCACCUGGGGAGUACGCUCGCAAGAGUA
Molecule: ribosomal RNA, 543 nt
Filed under: uncultured bacterium
Lineage: Bacteria
Description: bacterial SSU rRNA
Rfam family: Bacterial small subunit ribosomal RNA
Source: RNAcentral